GAUCUUUAUAUAUUAAAUAAUUAGUAAACGUUAGAUUAAUUUUUUUUUUAAUUAUUGAUAUAUUAUAUUGGGGUAAUAAUAAAAUUUUAAAAAUUUUUAUUUUUUAUUAUCAACUAUGAUUGAUUUUUUGAUCCAAUAUUAUUGAUUAUAAAUUUAAGUUACCUUAGGGAUAACAGCGUAAUCGAUUUUUGAGAGUUCUUAUUGA
RNAcentral lists this ribosomal RNA (205 nucleotides) under Psychodopygus squamiventris maripaensis. RNAcentral describes it as "partial large subunit ribosomal RNA". The record is from RNAcentral. Lineage: Eukaryota; Metazoa; Arthropoda; Insecta; Diptera; Psychodidae.